AGAGUUUGAUCCUGGCUCAGGACGAACGCUGGCGGCGUGCCUAAUACAUGCAAGUAGAACGCUGAAGAGAGGAGCUUGCUCUUCUUGGAUGAGUUGCGAACGGGUGAGUAACGCGUAGGUAACCUGCCUUGUAGCGGGGGAUAACUAUUGGAAACGAUAGCUAAUACCGCAUAACAAUGGAUGACACAUGUCAUUUAUUUGAAAGGGGCAAUUGUUCCACUACAAGAUGGACCUGCGUUGUAUUAGCUAGUAGGUGAGGUAAUGGCUCACCUAGGCGACGAUACAUAGCCGACCUGAGAGGGUGAUCGGCCACACUGGGACUGAGACACGGCCCAGACUCCUACGGGAGGCAGCAGUAGGGAAUCUUCGGCAAUGGGGGCAACCCUGACCGAGCAACGCCGCGUGAGUGAAGAAGGUUUUCGGAUCGUAAAGCUCUGUUGUAAGUCAAGAACGGGUGUGAGAGUGGAAAGUUCACACUGUGACGGUAGCUUACCAGAAAGGGACGGCUAACUACGUGCCAGCAGCCGCGGUAAUACGUAGGUCCCGAGCGUUGUCCGGAUUUAUUGGGCGUAAAGCGAGCGCAGGCGGUUUGAUAAGUCUGAAGUUAAAGGCUGUGGCUCAACCAUAGUUCGCUUUGGAAACUGUCAAACUUGAGUGCAGAAGGGGAGAGUGGAAUUCCAUGUGUAGCGGUGAAAUGCGUAGAUAUAUGGAGGAACACCGGUGGCGAAAGCGGCUCUCUGGUCUGUAACUGACGCUGAGGCUCGAAAGCGUGGGGAGCGAACAGGACUAGAUACCCUGGUAGUCCACGCCGUAAACGAUGAGUGCUAGGUGUUGGAUCCUUUCCGGGAUUCAGUGCCGCAGCUAACGCAUUAAGCACUCCGCCUGGGGAGUACGACCGCAAGGUUGAAACUCAAAGGAAUUGACGGGGGCCCGCACAAGCGGUGGAGCAUGUGGUUUAAUUCGAAGCAACGCGAAGAACCUUACCAGGUCUUGACAUCCCGAUGCUAUUUCUAGAGAUAGAAAGUUACUUCGGUACAUCGGUGACAGGUGGUGCAUGGUUGUCGUCAGCUCGUGUCGUGAGAUGUUGGGUUAAGUCCCGCAACGAGCGCAACCCCUAUUGUUAGUUGCCAUCAUUCAGUUGGGCACUCUAGCGAGACUGCCGGUAAUAAACCGGAGGAAGGUGGGGAUGACGUCAAAUCAUCAUGCCCCUUAUGACCUGGGCUACACACGUGCUACAAUGGUUGGUACAACGAGUUGCGAGUCGGUGACGGCGAGCUAAUCUCUUAAAGCCAAUCUCAGUUCGGAUUGUAGGCUGCAACUCGCCUACAUGAAGUCGGAAUCGCUAGUAAUCGCGGAUCAGCACGCCGCGGUGAAUACGUUCCCGGGCCUUGUACACACCGCCCGUCACACCACGAGAGUUUGUAACACCCGAAGUCGGUGAGGUAACCUUUUGGAGCCAGCCGCCUAAGGUGGGACAGAUGAUUGGGGUGAAGUCGUAACAAGGUA
This 1506-nucleotide ribosomal RNA is filed under the name metagenome. RNAcentral describes it as "bacterial SSU rRNA". It matches the Rfam family "Bacterial small subunit ribosomal RNA". The record is from RNAcentral.